RNAcentral lists this non-coding RNA (30 nucleotides) under Rattus norvegicus (Norway rat). Lineage: Eukaryota; Metazoa; Chordata; Mammalia; Rodentia; Muridae. The record is from RNAcentral.
UAAACCAUGCUGUCAAUGGCCAGCUACUUU